Molecule: ribosomal RNA, 955 nt
Filed under: Epizoanthus scotinus
Lineage: Eukaryota; Metazoa; Cnidaria; Anthozoa; Zoantharia; Epizoanthidae
Description: eukaryotic LSU rRNA
Rfam family: Eukaryotic large subunit ribosomal RNA
Source: RNAcentral
AUUUAAGCAUAUCAAUAAGCGGAGGAAAGAAACUAACAAGGAUUCCCCCAGUAACGGCGAGUGAAGCGGGAACAGCUCAAAUUUGAAAUCUCCGUUGCUUGCAACGGCGAAUUGUAGUUUCGAGAAGCACUUUCUAGGUGGAUCGGCUCUGUCUAAGUUGCUUGGAACAGCACGUCAUAGAGGGUGACAACCCCGUCUGUGACGGAGCCGACCGCUCACGAUGUGUUUUCGAAGAGUCGGGUUGUUUGGGAAUGCAGCCCAAAAUGGGUGGUAAACUCCAUCUAAAGCUAAAUAUAGGCACGAGACCGAUAGCGAACAAGUACCGUGAGGGAAAGAUGAAAAGAACUUUGAAAAGAGAGUUAAAAAGUACGUGAAACCGUUAAAAGGGAAACGAAUGGAGUUAGCAAUGCACUCUUUAAGAUUCAGCCGGUUGGUGGCGCGGACGGAGGGUUUGCAGAUCUGAAUGGACUGCUGCCGUUCGGCUCGUGCCCCCGACCGUCGCACUUCUUUUGGGUGCGCGUCAACAUCGGUUCGGAUCGGGUUUUAAAGGCGUCGGGAAGGUAGGUCGAGCGUUUCGGCGUUCUUCUGUUAUAUCCCUUCGUUCGAUGGCUCGGUCCGGACCGAGGAGCCGCAGCGCAUGCCUCUUUUGGCUAGGGUUCCGUAGCGCCGGUCGGUUGUCGAUCGUGGUGGACUGCUUGCAGUGCACCCAAACUGCUGCCGGUCGCCGUUGCGGUAACUUCAUACCAUGCGCUCAGGAUGUUGGCGAUCAUAUGGCUUCAUCCGACCCGUCUUGAAACACGGACCAAGGAGUCUAACAUGUGCGCGAGUCUUAGGGUGAUUGAAACCCCAAGGCACAAUGAAAGUGAAGGCAGCCUAGCUGCUGAGGUGAGAACCUCUCCUCCGGGAGUGGCGCAUCAUUGACCGAUCUAUUCUACUCUUAGGAAGAUUUGAGUAA